GCAACAUUGCCCUCUGUUCCUGUCUUUCUGAUCUGGGCACACAGCAUACUCCCCACAGCAGCUACAAGAAAGCAGAGUAACAUCUACUCUAUUUCUCAUGACACGUAUGUCGAUCUCAACCCAGGGUCCAGAUCCUGCAAUGAUGUCUACCACACACUUGAACAUGUUGAAGCUGAUGCUAUGGAUGUCAUAUGUACAACUCUUGAUCCCACAGCCAGGGCCUCUGGUGAUAUCUACCACACACUUGAAAGAACUGAGCUCUUAAGCAGGUGUGGACACCACUGAAACACAGCAUAGCUAUGCAGCACAGAAUUAAAGUGCCACCCCCAAAGCAGCACCUGUCUCUAAACUAUGCCUUCUGGACAUCCUGUGACCUGUUUCUACUGUGCUCACAAAACAUUUCAUGCAUUGCUGCAAAGCCUCCCAACUGUUUUAUAGUGUGCUGUUGUUCACUUUACUCCAGUAAACAGUGUUAAAUUGGGUCAAGGCUCCCAUGUUUUCAGAGUCAUGGUGAUUUUGUGUUUCUGUGGGUAUGUGUGUGUGUUUAGACUGAGCCCAGAUCAUUUCAAAGUUAACCAGAUUUAAC
Electrophorus electricus (electric eel) is the source of this 586-nucleotide long non-coding RNA. RefSeq lists it as uncharacterized. Lineage: Eukaryota; Metazoa; Chordata; Actinopteri; Gymnotiformes; Gymnotidae. The record is from RefSeq and is a predicted model, not a curated record.